GUUUUACAGGAAGGCUGUGAACAACUGUAAACAAUGAAAUCUCACUUCCAGAUAUAAUUGAAACGACAACCAUUGCUGAAAUAGAAAUAAACAAGGAAUAUGUCCCUCAAUACCAAAAUACAUCCUCACAAGAAUAUAAAGAUUUUGUACAGGUCUUCAAAGUUCAGAUGAUACCGUACUACGAAACCAAGAUUGAAAACUUCUUAAAUAUAACAAAUAUAACACUGAGGUAUAUCUGCUCUUUUAUAAACAACUACAUUGAACCAUUAUAUACAAAUAAAAUACUAUGUUUUGUAACUGGUUAGAAAUUACAAUAAUUGUUGUUAAAACCUCUCUAAACCACAGUGACAGAAAUUCUUUAAUGGGCCGAAUAGGGAGUAAAUUAAU
Molecule: long non-coding RNA, 387 nt
Organism: Tachysurus fulvidraco (yellow catfish)
Lineage: Eukaryota; Metazoa; Chordata; Actinopteri; Siluriformes; Bagridae
Exons: 3
Source: RefSeq, a predicted model, not a curated record